GCCAAUAGUAAUCGUGCGGUGCCUUUGAGAACACGGUACGGUCUCUCUCGUCAGUCUCCUUUCUCGUGGUGCGUUUUUACACGUCACGUCGUAAAGGGCGAAGGAAACGAAGGGAAGAGCGACGAGCCUUACGUACCGAACGUCGCGUCGUUCACGAAGAGAAAGAAUAUCCGUAGACCGGGGAACUGUCGUGAGAGGCAAGGGACAACCGUGAAGGAAAACAGCGGACAGGUCCGGAACCAGGGUUCCUAGCACCUUGCAACACUCGCCUGUCGCGUCUCUGUUUCCGUGCUAUCGUGUUCGAAAGACGCGGAGAAGCUGCAACUCUUCUUUGGUACCAGGAUUCCGCAGCGGGAGCCGCGCAAGACGAGCUUCAUCAACGCAACAACACCAGGCACCGAGAGAGGAGAGACUCAGCCGGAGCGGUUACAUCAACGAGGAUUUAAGGGUGGAACGUGACUACUAUUCGAGGAGGGAAAGGUCCAAGUCAGAAGGUAGAGAUCCAGCGUGACGGACGGAAGGACAAGGAUCCAUCCGUGUCCUGAAGACGUCAGCAGUUUGGUAGGCUUGUUUCAUCGUGGGCGAGCAACAGCGAACGGGAACGUCGCCAUGCCGGCAGGUAUUGGCGCUUCGUACAGGUCGUUAGGCGACCUGGGCGAAGACGUGUACAAAAGCACAACGAUCGUCGACCAAACACAGACCACCGGGCAGAGCGUCCUCGAGAGUGUCAAGAAGGCUUUCAGUUUCGCUUCGCCGAAGGUCGAGCUGAGGAAAAAGGACCCGCUGAUCGAGGACCGCCGUGAGAGCGUCUCGAUCGUCUCAAGCACGAUGCCCUCAGAUAGUAUGGAUGACAUCGAACUGAAAAAUAUUCAGCUGCAAUUUCCCGCGCUAAGAUACCUAUCGAGAGAUGACAGUUCCGUGCGGGAGGAGAGAGUGGAGACGGAUAAGGGAAGUCUGCUGGUGGCUGUGCAAGGGAAUAGAGCGAAACCUGCCAUUCUCACUUAUCACGACUUAGGCCUUAACUAUAUAUCGAGCUUCCAGGCGUUCUUCAAUUACAUCGACAUGCGAGUUUUACUCGAAAACUUCUGCGUUUAUCACGUGAAUGCACCGGGUCAGGAGGAAGGUGCACCUACGCUGCCUGAGGACUACGUCUAUCCGUCCAUGGACGAGCUGGCAGAACAGAUGCUGUUCGUUCUGGGCCAUUUUGGCCUGAAAUCCGUAAUCGGUUUUGGAGUCGGCGCCGGAGCUAACAUACUGGCGAGAUUCGCACUUGCUCAUCCUGAGAAGGUCAAUGCCCUCUGCUUGAUAAACUGUGUAUCGACGCAGGCAGGUUGGAUCGAGUGGGGCUAUCAGAAGCUGAACGUUCGUCACCUGAGAUCCCAGGGAAUGACUCAAGGUGUAUUGGACUAUUUGAUGUGGCAUCACUUUGGCAGGGGCACGGAGGAGAGGAAUCACGACCUCGUUCAGGUGUACAAGAACUACUUCGAGCGUCGCGUGAAUCCAACGAAUUUAGCUCUACUCAUCGACAGCUACGUCCGCCGUACAGAUCUGAACAUCACGAGGGAAUUAGACCCAACGCGUAAGAAGGAAGGUCUCACUCUCGUUGUACCUGUCAUGAAUAUUACCGGAGCACUAAGCCCACACGUCGAUGACACCGUCACGUUAAACGGCCGAUUAGAUCCUACGAACAGCUCUUGGAUGAAGAUUUCUGACUGCGGAAUGGUGCUGGAGGAACAGCCGGGCAAAGUAAGCGAGGCCUUCCGACUAUUUCUGCAGGGCGAAGGAUAUGUGGUGAGAUCCCCGCGGAAGCCCGUGACGCCGACAACACCCGAAGGUAAUUGUAAUUAGGAAUUGAAGGCCGCAAGGAGUCAAGCGCGCAGUUGGUCGGUUAGGCCACGUCUAUGUGUUAAUGGCACCGCUCUCACCACUGAAAAUGGCUGACUACAGACUGGCCUCCCUCGAGGGACUGAAUCACGUAUGCAGUAAGAA
This 1989-nucleotide unclassified non-coding RNA is filed under the name Habropoda laboriosa. RNAcentral's name for it is "protein NDRG3, transcript variant X4". Lineage: Eukaryota; Metazoa; Arthropoda; Insecta; Hymenoptera; Apidae. The record is from RNAcentral.